GAUAAACGCUAGCGGCAGGCCUAACACAUGCAAGUCGAGGGGCAGCAUAAAUGGUAGCAAUACUAUUGGUGGCGACCGGCGGACGGGUGCGUAACGCGUAUACAACCUACCUUUAACAGGGGGAUAACUCUGGGAAACUGGAACUAAUACCCCGUAAUACUAUUUGUGGCAUCACAUUUAGUUGAAAGCUUUAUUGUGGUUAGAGAUGGGUAUGCGUUGUAUUAGCUAGUUGGUAAGGUAACGGCUUACCAAGGCUACGAUACAUAGGGGGACUGAGAGGUUAGCCCCCCACACUGGUACUGAGACACGGACCAGACUCCUACGGGAGGCAGCAGUGAGGAAUAUUGGUCAAUGGGCGGAAGCCUGAACCAGCCAUGCCGCGUGCAGGAAGACGGCGCUAUGCGUUGUAAACUGCUUUUGUACGAGAGUAAUAGUGGGUACGUGUACCCAUUUGAAAGUAUCGUACGAAUAAAGACCGGCUAACUCCGUGCCAGCAGCCGCGGUAAUACGGAGGGUCUAAGCGUUAUCCGGAUUUAUUGGGUUUAAAGGGUGCGUAGGCGGUUUUUUAAGUUAGAGGUGAAAUCUCGUGGCUCAACCACGAAACUGCCUCUGAUACUGGAGAGCUUGAGAGGAGAUGCGGUUGGCGGAAUGUGUAGUGUAGCGGUGAAAUGCUUAGAGAUUACACAGAACACCGAUUGCGAAGGCAGCUGACCAAUCUUCAUCUGACGCUGAUGCACGAAAGCGUGGGGAUCAAACAGGAUUAGAUACCCUGGUAGUCCACGCUGUAAACGAUGAUAACUCGAUGUCGGCGAUAUACAGUCGGUGUCUAAGCGAAAGCGAUAAGUUAUCCACCUGGGGAGUACGCUCGCAAGAGUGAAACUCAAAGGAAUUGACGGGGGCCCGCACAAGCGGAGGAACAUGUGGUUUAAUUCGAUGAUACGCGAGGAACCUUACCCGGGCUUGAAAGUUAGCGAUUGACUUGGAAACAGGUCUUCCAGCAAUGGCGCGAAACUAGGUGCUGCAUGGUUGUCGUCAGCUCGUGCCGUGAGGUGUCGGAUUAAGUUCCAUAACGAGCGCAACCCCUAUUGAUAGUUACCAGCGAGUAGUGUCGGGGACUCUAUCGAGACUGCCUGUGUAAGCAGUGAGGAAGGUGGGGAUGACGUCAAAUCAGCACGGCCCUUACGUCCGGGGCGACACACGUGUUACAAUGGUCGGUACAGAGGGCAGCUACCCAGUGAUGGGGUGCGAAUCUCGAAAGCCGGUCUCAGUUCGGAUUGGAGGCUGAAACUCGCCUCCAUGAAGUUGGAUUCGCUAGUAAUCGCGCAUCAGCCAUGGCGCGGUGAAUACGUUCCCGGGC
This 1357-nucleotide ribosomal RNA is filed under the name uncultured Bacteroidales bacterium. RNAcentral's name for it is "bacterial SSU rRNA". It matches the Rfam family "Bacterial small subunit ribosomal RNA", at positions 28 to 1379 of the family's 1533-position model. The record is from RNAcentral. Lineage: Bacteria; Pseudomonadati; Bacteroidota; Bacteroidia; Bacteroidales.